GAGACGCCGCGCGCUCGCCAGCCGCAGGCCAAGACCCUCCCGCAAAAAAACGACGGGAAGGGGCUGCCCCGUGUCCCGCCGGAUAAAACGUCCCUCUUCCCGCGCCGCCCGGUUUGCCUCGCCGCCCUUUCCGGGGAGACAUUUUGCCACUCCCUGUGGAUGCCGUUGCCUCCAGGAAAGACCAAGAAUCUGGAUCGGCCUUCGAGUCUGUGGAAGGCAAGCUAAUGGAGGAACACCGUUGCAGAAGGAAGUCAUUGCAGUGCAAAAGGUAUACGGGAAAAGACUGGCAUAUUUGCAAGCUGGACACACCCUCAGGGGUCAGCAAGGGAAUGCUGGGCAACAGCCUGGUUCACAGGCACCCUGGGCCAAAAGCCACGUGAACAGCAACAGGGGACACGGACAUGAGAAGCGAGCAAAAGGCAAAAUGUUCUUGGUAAAACCAAAGUGGAAAGAAUUGGACAAGGAACUGUGAGGUAUUCUACCAACCCCCAGCAGGGGUGAAAUCUAAAAAUUUUCCCUACCGGUUCUGUGGGCGUGGCUUAAUUGGUGGGCGUGGCUUGGUGGUCAGGUGACUGACUGGGCAUGGCCAAUAAUAAUAAAAAUAAUAAAGUAUACAAAACCUGG
Long non-coding RNA from Ahaetulla prasina, 624 nucleotides. RefSeq lists it as uncharacterized. The record is from RefSeq and is a predicted model, not a curated record. The transcript is spliced from 2 exons. Lineage: Eukaryota; Metazoa; Chordata; Lepidosauria; Squamata; Colubridae.